Ochotona curzoniae (black-lipped pika) is the source of this 107-nucleotide small nuclear RNA. The record is from RefSeq and is a predicted model, not a curated record. NCBI's taxonomy places the organism in Eukaryota, Metazoa, Chordata, Mammalia, Lagomorpha, Ochotonidae.
GUGCUUGUUUUGGCAGCACAUACACUGGAACUGGAAUAAUACAGAGAAGAUUAACAUGGCCCCUGUGCAAGGGUGAUACGGAAAUUCAUAAAACAUUCCAUACUUUA